CAUUUCAAAUCUAUGAGAGGGCUCUGACAAUACUUAAAUGAAAAACUCAUUAGGACAGAACAACCAACGAUAACUAUAAUCAGCAAAUUGGUGUGUAAAGCAAUUUUAAUCUGCCAUCUAUCAUCCGUAAGCACAAGGAAUUUGGAGAGAAAUCAUCAGACUCAAAACAAUGAGUAAAGUCUACUGUUGAGAAUACCUACAGAUACUGCCAGACCUGCUGAGCUUUACCAGUGAAAAUUCCCGACAGAAGAAUCAACAGAGAAGGCACCAAUCAUUCUGGAAGACAUGUAACCUGGCUGUAAAUUCAAGAGACAGAAUUAUAUUUUAAUUUUAUAAAGGGGUCGUCAGCCUCCACUUUACAACAAAGGACUGGUUUCCAGUUUAAUCCAUCUUCAGAAAAACAUCAGAUCUUUAAUUCCAAUUCUAAGCAAGAUAAAGAAAUACAUAUUCCUCUUCAAACUUUACAUGUGUGAGGUUUUGUCUGGUACUUUCGAGGACAUAUCAACCGUGAUUAGAAAUAACGUUUCUCCUGAUGCCUAUUGGGUACCCCAGCUGGAGUGAAAGGAUACAGUUCAGGUGUGGAGCCUGUUAGCCCUAGAAGUUUGGAUAGGCCAUCCUAGGAGUAUUAGUGUCUGAAUGGCUGGGACUGCCCAGAGUCUUCUUGCAAGAGGCAAGUGGACUCUUCUUGAUUUGAACUCCCAAGAGUCAGUAAGAGGCAGGCAGAGUGGGACCAUUUCCAGCCACCUCUGGGGUGUUCUGAGAAGAGAUAUUUUUUUAGAGUGUGUGCAUGUGUUCCUCCUCUGGCUGUGUGCCUCCUGGCACCAACCUGUCACCUUGUGAGGCUGAGAAAACUGGAGUGAGGGCCAGGUUUUCAAUCUCCCUGCCACCUUGGUUUCAGACAGGUGGACCAACGGCUGAAGCAAAGGAGUGUAGUUGUGGAGCUGGCAUGUGAGGUGAUGGGUUUGGGCAGCAGUGCAAAGUGAAAGAUACAGCCUUUUCUGACUUCUCCUAUGAAGCCUCAGAUCUCUCUUCCUCAGAGACUGAGACCAUUUCUUCACAGGGCACAUCAUGCUUGUAUCUCUGACAGAAAAGGGUGCUGGUAUGCACUUGUUGGACUAAAGGGGCUGUUUCCACACUGUAGGGAUUCCAUGAUGAUCAGACCUAAGGCAACAACUUCGGAUGUCUUGGACUCUUCAGAAGUACCAAGGCAUUCAACUUCAAUUAAUACUCAUUUACAGAAAUAUUGGACAUUCCAUUUAAUCAAAAUAUAUUUACACCUACUCUAAACCAUCAGGAAGCCAAUUCAUCACAAUGGAGACAACAGAAACUCAAUGGAUAACACAGAUUUGAGAGGCAGUAGUGGAGCACACAGUCCGUAUAACUGCUGGCCUUGAUCUCAGAGAGAAAGAGCAAAAGAGCCAUCCCAACAGCCACCGACAGAAGAGGGAUCACAGACAGUUACUCUCCCCGAGAACUAUCUGCACAGCUAUCUCCCUGAAACCUACCAACACAGGGCUGUUCUGUACCAGGGGAAACAAUGGCAACCAACCAACCACCUCCGAAAACGACUGACAAGGCCUCAGACACAUCCUGAGGUGAAAACUGGCUCACAAAACCACCACAGUGUAAGAAAACCCAUGUACUCAAACUGGGCUGAACACCAUCCGAAGUCUUCAGCGAAGCACCAGCUACAGCAAGUGGGAACAGCCAGCUGUAUUUCAAACUUGUGUUUAUUCCCAGUCGUGAGCCUAUUUCCUCAAGACCCAGGGUAUCCAACUUAGUAAGCAGGGGGGCUAGUUGGUCUUAGUGCAGAACACGGCCAACGUCAGGAAUCUGAUUGAAAUGGCUGUGUCUGAAAAUACUGUUUAGUUUCCAAUAGUAAUUAGCCUGUGUUAAGUUAAUAACAUGAUUGUCUUACUUUCAUUAUUUUGAAUUUGCCUUUUUAACUCUUCUAUUUUAUUCACUUUUUGUGUUAUUU
Long non-coding RNA from Stegostoma tigrinum, 1978 nucleotides. RefSeq lists it as uncharacterized. The transcript is spliced from 6 exons. Lineage: Eukaryota; Metazoa; Chordata; Chondrichthyes; Orectolobiformes; Stegostomatidae. The record is from RefSeq and is a predicted model, not a curated record.